UGGUACUAUAUAUUAUUUAGACUGCGAGCAAUCCCUCUAUUUUCCUUCGUUUUAUUGUUUCCCGGACUAAGAUUGAACGCGCGGGAAAAUGGCAAAAAGGGGCGGAGACGAGAGGAAAAAUAGAGGGAUUGCUCGCAGUCUAUAUAUUAUUGAUCUU
Molecule: non-coding RNA, 157 nt
Organism: Paramuricea clavata
Lineage: Eukaryota; Metazoa; Cnidaria; Anthozoa; Malacalcyonacea; Plexauridae
Source: the annotation of a GenBank genome assembly